Molecule: ribosomal RNA, 435 nt
Filed under: uncultured bacterium
Lineage: Bacteria
Description: partial 16S ribosomal RNA
Rfam family: Bacterial small subunit ribosomal RNA
Source: RNAcentral
AACGAACGCUGGCGGCAUGCCUAACACAUGCAAGUCGAACGAUUGCCUUCGGGUGAUAGUGGCGCACGGGUGCGUAACGCGUGGGAAUCUGCCCUUAGGUUCGGAAUAACAGCUGGAAACGGCUGCUAAUACCGGAUGAUAUCGCGAGAUCAAAGAUUUAUCGCCUGAGGAUGAGCCCGCGUUGGAUUAGGUAGUUGGUGGGGUAAAGGCCUACCAAGCCGACGAUCCAUAGCUGGUCUGAGAGGAUGAUCAGCCACACUGGGACUGAGACACGGCCCAGACUCCUACGGGAGGCAGCAGUGGGGAAUAUUGGACAAUGGGCGCAAGCCUGAUCCAGCAAUGCCGCGUGAGUGAUGAAGGCCCUAGGGUUGUAAAGCUCUUCUACCCGGGAAGAUAAUGACUGUACCGGGAGAAUAAGCCCCGGCUAACUCCGUG